Molecule: ribosomal RNA, 492 nt
Filed under: uncultured bacterium
Lineage: Bacteria
Description: partial 16S ribosomal RNA
Rfam family: Bacterial small subunit ribosomal RNA
Source: RNAcentral
AGUGAACGCUGGCGGUAGGCCUAACACAUGCAAGUCGAACGGCAGCACAGUAAGAGCUUGCUCUUACGGGUGGCGAGUGGCGGACGGGUGAGGAAUACAUAGGAAUCUACUUUUUCGUGGGGGAUAACGUAGGGAAACUUAUGCUAAUACCGCAUACGACCUACGGGUGAAAGCAGGGGAUCUUCGGACCUUGCGCGAUUGAUUGAGCCGAUGUCGGAUUAGCUAGUUGGCGGGGUAAAGGCCCACCAAGGCGACGAUCCGUAGCUGGUCUGAGAGGAUGAUCAGCCACACUGGAACUGGGACACGGUCCAGACUCCUACGGGAGGCAGCAGUGGGGAAUAUUGGACAAUGGGCGCAAGCCUGAUCCAGCCAUACCGCGUGAGUGAAGAAGGCCUUCGGGUUGUAAAGCCCUUUUGUUGGGAAAGAAAAGCAGCAGGUUAAUACCCCGCUGUUCUGACGGUACCCAAAGAAUAAGCACCGGCUAACUUCGUG